CCUACCCUCGAGUUAGUUCUUCGUCUUCCUUCCUGUUAGUCAUGGACUCAUGGGAAUGUUCGCCGCGAUUUUGAGUCUUCGUUUUGUGCAAAACUCAAAUUAGUUCUCAGAUCAAUCGGUGCUGCAAAUUUGAUAUUAACGGAACCCAAUUGGUUAAUAAGCUGUAUCAUGUUAAAUUUUAGUGAGUUGUAUCAAUUGGUUCUCUGAUUCCCCGAAAUUUAGAGAUUUAAUUUAUUAUUUGUGUUUUAUUUUGAUUUUGAUUCAUUAUUUGUAUGAAUCUGUUAGGGGACAUCAAAAGUCAGGGAGGUAUAUUAAGCAGUUGUGGGGAGCGAUGGGGUUUACACUAAACAAAUCUUCUGUUAAAUUGUUGAAGAUAUAAAGAAGCCAUUUUCAAUCCUUAAUGGUUUAGUGGAACCAAAAACUCUGCUUCUAUUCAAAUUCCAUUCUAUCGACUUUGGUCUUAUCUUCACAGCAAUCGUUGUUUGGCCAAUGAAUUUCAACGACCUCUCAAAAAUCACUGGAUAAAAUAAAAAAGCUCAAAAGAUUUUUCACAGCAACAGAUCAUGGAGAGACACAGAGAUUUAUGAAGAGUUUAACUAGCAGUUUAUAUUUUCGUGAUAGAAGCAGCCACAAAUUAGGUUCACUUCUUUUAUAGCUUGAAGUCAUUCAUGCAUGUCUUUUAAUUUCAAUUUCAGUAGUUUGUUCUUCAACUCAUGUCAUUUUCUAUACUCCUGUUUCUGAGUUCUUAAUGAUUCGGUUGCAAUCCAACACUUUCAGAAUGUUUGAAAAGACAUUACAAGUGUUUGAAAAGACAUUGCAAUCCAACUCAUUCUUAAUUUCAGAAUGUUUGCAAUCUAACAAAGUUUCUUAGCUCCAUCCAGGAUCACUUUGACGACUGACUACCAUGUUCCCUUUGUAAGUUUCGAUUUACAUCUUUUUAACACGUGAUUUCCAUCAAAUUUAGUUGUUUCGUUUUUUACAUUACCAGUGUGCGCUCUCAUUUCCGGGUCGGUAUUACGGCGUUUCUGUUGGAGUUCUAAGCAGUAUUAGUGUGUUUAUAAGCUUUUGGUGUUUUUAUGUAAGAUGUUGAAACCGAAGCAGUUGAUUCAGUGGGAAUAAGGGAAACAUAGAUAAAUAGGAAAAAACAUUGUUGAUCGCACUCGAUUGAGUCUUGACAAAUUGUGGUAAUCAUUUGUGAUUUGGUUCAUCGUCUUGACCCUUUCUUCCUGAUGUGCAUCUCAUCUUAUGUUUAACCAGACAUCAGUUUUCUCCUUCCCUGCUUCACAAGUUACGUCUCACCUUCAUAACAUGUACCCUAUGUAGUUUUAUAUUCUCUUUCACAUCAAAUUCGUUGGGUUUUGUUUUCGUUAUUUUCUCAUCAGCUCCCUAAUGAUGGGUUCUGUUCUCUUCAAAAUUUAGUGCAUGCCCACUUUAAGAAGACCCAUUCUAAUUUUCGUUCAAUCAGAUUCAUAUCUAAUAAUCCUCGGUAAAGUGACCGGUAGCUCCUACUGUCCAUUUCUUGCUCUUUGUGAAGUGUAAAAUCUUAAUUUUAGUUGGUACGUCACAACCAUAUAUUCCAUCUUUUUCUUUGGCUUCAAAUAUUCGUGCCUUCUUAAGUGACCCCUUUUAUUGAGAAUUUGUUGUUUCCACUGACUUUUUGAGAGAGAUGCUGGGGAAAUUGAUGCAUACUACUGACAUUGAUAUGUGGAGAAAGACUUUGUCAGAUUGAUUUAUUUCUUUAAUGUCUGAAAGACGAACAAUCUGUGAUUCUCAUAGUAUCCAGUGAUCAUCAGCAGAGAGAGAUAAGAAAAGGGUUUAGGCAUGGUUUCUCAAAUAUAAUUUGCGGGAAAGAGUUUGCACGUUGCUGUGACAUUUCUUUGAGGCUUGAGCUGUUAUCACAUCAUUAUAUCGCUGCAUCAUUAUAUCCAUGAAUUUCUGUGAGCACUUUUAGUUUAUCUUUACCACAAAAUAUAUUCCACCCCUCUAAAUUUAAGAGUUAAAUUUUUUUGUAUUUCUGUUCUUUUUUCAUUCAGCCAGGUAACAUCUUGAUGAGAGUUGAAUUAAAAAUAUGUUGUUAUGGUGUUGAGAAAGUUCAAAUGAAAAUCAUUAGCAUUUGACAUCUCCGUCGUUGCAAGAAGGUUUUCCUCCCUGUCAACUUCAUAAGGAAUGAAACUGGCAUUCCCAAAGUUACAGGCCAACAAAUCAUAUUCUCAACCCAACAGAAAUAUUCAACUGCACAAGUGAGAAUCCAAAGCUCAGGCAUUCGAACAGGAAACUACUUGAUGUUUUUCAAAUGGAAUACGGAGCUUAUCUCUGCAGCCAUAUUAGAACUCAAUUCCUAGACACAAGUUUUCCUCCGUCGACUACGAAAGCUUGGAAUAAAAAAUGAGUAACAACUCCUAAUAGGUUUCCGCCUAAACUACUUAUGGUUCACAAAUGUCUUGCAAUUAUAUCGACACUGGACCAUUUGUAUCGGUGUGAUUGGGAUUUUAAGAUGGGUGAAACCUAUCCUUGAAAACCAUAGCAUCCAGUGGUGUGUAUGCCGAAAGUGACAGUCGAGAAUCCUUGUUACAACCACCAAAGUAGUGUUGGCAUUUAUUUCCACCAAGUUAAUCAUUUUUAUUUUAUUUUUGGGAAGGAUCACCAUGUGAAACCAAACAGUUGGGCGAUUGAGAAUGAAAACUAAUCUUCCGUUGUAAUUUUAACUUCCGUUCUUUACAUUCACUUUGUCUUCAUAAGAUUUUACUACUACAUAAGGUCGAUAAACUAAUCAGGUGGACCAGGUAGAAGGUAACUUUAGCCUUGGUGUGUUGCAUAAAAAUAUGGUGCUGGAUCAAGCUGGAGAAAUGGUAGUGGAGUCUUUACACAGAUCGGUUUGGAGUAAGUGGUUGCUUCCUAAAGUAUCUUUUAUAGCAUGUUCAUUUUAUCGACGCUUCAGCAUAUUUAAUCUAUGAUUCCUACGUAAGUGAAAUACAUUGUCAGCUUGCUUCGAUUGUUUGGAAUUUCUUCAUUUAGUCCUUGCCAUUAAACUGGGUGUUGCCGAGGGAUGUUCAAACUCAGUUGGAAGGCUGGAGCUACAUUAAUUUCCAAAAUGGCGGAACUAUUGGUUCAAAGGUUCCGAGUGCAGUAAUUUGGGAGCUAUGGAAAGAACCCAAGGACCCAGUGCUAGAUUCCGUUGGCAGGGAAGCAAGAACAAGGAUUGCCAAUACAGUCGUUUCUUAUGCUCUGUUGCUCUGAUGAAGACUUAUUCAGGGAUACUCAUUUCCGCAAAAAAAAAAAAUCAGUAAGAAACUGUGAUGAUGUAAUCUUUUAUAUUGUAACUGAAUAUAUUAUUUUAUGGAAAUUACAUCCAAAA
Papaver somniferum (opium poppy) is the source of this 3355-nucleotide long non-coding RNA. RefSeq lists it as uncharacterized. The record is from RefSeq and is a predicted model, not a curated record. Lineage: Eukaryota; Viridiplantae; Streptophyta; Magnoliopsida; Ranunculales; Papaveraceae. The transcript has 5 exons.